This 254-nucleotide ribosomal RNA is filed under the name uncultured bacterium. RNAcentral describes it as "partial 16S ribosomal RNA". It matches the Rfam family "Bacterial small subunit ribosomal RNA", at positions 79 to 334 of the family's 1533-position model. The record is from RNAcentral.
CUUUCUUUGCUGGCGACCGGCGCACGGGUGAGUAACACGUAUCCAACCUGCCCUUUACUCGGGGAUAGCCUUUCGAAAGAAAGAUUAAUACCCGAUGGUAUAAUCAGACCGCAUGGUCUUGUUAUUAAAGAAUUUCGGUUAUCGAUGGGGAUGCGUUCCAUUAGGCAGUUGGUGAGGUAACGGCUCACCAAACCUUCGAUGGAUAGGGGUUCUGAGAGGAAGGUCCCCCACAUUGGAACUGAGACACGGUCCAA